Molecule: transfer RNA, 64 nt
Filed under: Trigonopterus sp. 8 AH-2016
Lineage: Eukaryota; Metazoa; Arthropoda; Insecta; Coleoptera; Curculionidae
Description: tRNA-Tyr
Source: RNAcentral
GGUAAAAUGGCUGAGACUAAGCGAUAAAUUGUAAAUUUAUAAACGAAACUUAUUUCUUUUACCA